AUUGAACGCUGGCGGCAUGCUUUACACAUGCAAGUCGAACGGCAGCGCGGGCUUCGGCCUGGCGGCGAGUGGCGAACGGGUGAGUAAUACAUCGGAACGUGCCCAGUAGUGGGGGAUAGCUCGGCGAAAGCCGGAUUAAUACCGCAUACGACCUGAGGGUGAAAGCGGGGAUCUUCGGACCUCGCGCUAUUGGAGCGGCCGAUGGCAGAUUAGCUAGUUGGUGGGGUAAAGGCCUACCAAGGCGACGAUCUGUAGCUGGUCUGAGAGGACGACCAGCCACACUGGGACUGAGACACGGCCCAGACUCCUACGGGAGGCAGCAGUGGGGAAUUUUGGACAAUGGGCGAAAGCCUGAUCCAGCAAUGCCGCGUGUGUGAUGAAGGCCUUCGGGUUGUAAAGCACUUUUGGCGGGAACGAAAAGGACUGUGCCAAUACCACGGUUCGAUGACGGUACCCGCAGAAUAAGCACCGGCUAACUACGUG
This 483-nucleotide ribosomal RNA is filed under the name uncultured bacterium. RNAcentral describes it as "partial 16S ribosomal RNA". It matches the Rfam family "Bacterial small subunit ribosomal RNA", at positions 29 to 507 of the family's 1533-position model. The record is from RNAcentral.